Molecule: long non-coding RNA, 387 nt
Filed under: Homo sapiens (human)
Lineage: Eukaryota; Metazoa; Chordata; Mammalia; Primates; Hominidae
Description: HSALNT0031467
Source: RNAcentral
GCAAGAAACUAGUAGCUGUGACAUCUCAGCAGGAUAGAUAAAACACCAGGAACAAAGAAGAAAUCGGAGGCAGCUGCAGUUUGCCAUGGAGCUGGAAUAUUCUCAAGAGAUUUAGAAGAAAUGACUCCUGGGGGCCAAGCAUUGUACAGAUUGAAAGUGGUUCCACUUUUUUUUUUUUUUUUUUUAAGUUCAAGGACCCUUAACAUCUGUGCCAACCUGGGAAACAGAUAAAGAAUUAUCAGUGCUUUGGUUAACCCAGUAAAGACUCGACUACAAAACAAAACAGAAAAUUACUAUCUAUUCUUAUUCUCAUUUUAUAAAGGCAAGAUCAUUUUAACGCCCUUUCUUCAAAGUUGGAAGGACACAAUCACUUUUUUUAUUUUUAUU